Molecule: ribosomal RNA, 253 nt
Filed under: uncultured bacterium
Lineage: Bacteria
Description: partial 16S ribosomal RNA
Rfam family: Bacterial small subunit ribosomal RNA
Source: RNAcentral
UACGAAGGGGACUAGCGUUGUCCGGAAUUACUGGGCGUAAAGCGCACGUAGGCGGAUUUGUUAGUCAGGGGUGAAAUCCCGGGGCUCAACCUCGGAACUGCCUUUGAUACUGCAAGUCUCGAGUCCGAUAGAGGUGGGUGGAAUUCCUAGUGUAGAGGUGAAAUUCGUAGAUAUUAGGAAGAACACCGGUGGCGAAGGUGGCCCACUGGAUCGGUACUGACGCUGAGGUGCGAAAGCGUGGGGAGCAAACAGG